GACGAACGCUGGCGGCGUGCUUAACACAUGCAAGUCGAACGGAAAGGCCCUGCUUUUGUGGGGUGCUCGAGUGGCGAACGGGUGAGUAACACGUGAGUAACCUGCCCUUGACUUUCGGAUAACUUCAGGAAACUGGGGCUAAUAUCGGAUAGGAGCUCCUGCUGCAUGGUGGGGGUUGGAAAGUUUCGGCGGUUGGGGAUGGACUCGCGGCUUAUCAGCUUGUUGGUGGGGUAGUGGCUUACCAAGGCUUUGACGGGUAGCCGGCCUGAGAGGGGGACCGGCGACAUUGGGACUGAGAGAGGGCCCAGAAUCCUACGGGAGGCAGCGGGGGGGAGUAUUGCAGAGUGGGGGGGAGCCUGAUGCAGCAACGCCGCGUGCGGAAUGCCGGCCUUCGGGUGAAAAACAAAUUUGGCCUGUAACAAACCGUGAGUGACGGUAAUGGAUAAAGAAGCACCGGCUAACUACGUG
Molecule: ribosomal RNA, 468 nt
Filed under: uncultured bacterium
Lineage: Bacteria
Description: partial 16S ribosomal RNA
Rfam family: Bacterial small subunit ribosomal RNA
Source: RNAcentral